This 324-nucleotide ribosomal RNA is filed under the name uncultured eukaryote. RNAcentral's name for it is "partial 18S ribosomal RNA". It matches the Rfam family "Eukaryotic small subunit ribosomal RNA", at positions 1470 to 1796 of the family's 1831-position model. The record is from RNAcentral.
CCCUUAGAUGUUCUGGGCUGCACGCGCGCUACACUGAUGCGAUCAACAAGUUUUUCCUAUGUCGAUAGACACGGGUAAUCUUUUGAACUCGCAUCGUGAUGGGGAUAGAUUAUUGUAAUUAUUAAUCUUCAACGAGGAAUUCCUAGUAGGUGCAAAUCAUCAGUUUGCAUCGAUUACGUCCCUGCCCUUUGUACACACCGCCCGUCGCUGCUACCGAUUGGUUGAUCUGGUGAGUUAUUCGGACUGCCGGCUGAAGGGGUUUCCUCAUCUGCCAGCGGAAAGUCUUGUUAACCCUAUCAACUAGAGGAAGCAGAAGUCGUAACA